UCCACGCCGUAAACGAUGGAUACUAGGUGUUGGAGGGUUUCGACCCCUUCAGUGCCGUCGCUAACGCAUUAAGUAUCCCGCCUGGGGAGUACGGUCGCAAGAUUAAAACUCAAAGGAAUAGACGGGGACCCACACAAGCGGUGGAGCACCUGGCUUAAUUCGAUAAUGAGCGAGGAACCUUACCUGGACUUGACAUCCUGAGAAUUUUCUAGAAAUAGAAAAGUGCCUUAUGGAACUCAGUGACAGGUGCUGCAUGGUUGUCGUCAGCUCGUGCCUUGAGGUGUUCGGUUAAGUCCGUAAACGAGCGCAACCAUGUCCUGUGUUGUUAUUUUCACAGGAGACUGCCGAUUCAAAGGUCGGAGGAAGG
RNAcentral lists this ribosomal RNA (367 nucleotides) under uncultured bacterium. Its description in RNAcentral is "bacterial SSU rRNA". It matches the Rfam family "Bacterial small subunit ribosomal RNA", at positions 794 to 1173 of the family's 1533-position model. The record is from RNAcentral.